RNAcentral lists this ribosomal RNA (575 nucleotides) under uncultured Pseudomonadota bacterium. RNAcentral's name for it is "bacterial SSU rRNA". It matches the Rfam family "Bacterial small subunit ribosomal RNA", at positions 28 to 649 of the family's 1533-position model. The record is from RNAcentral. Lineage: Bacteria; Pseudomonadati; Pseudomonadota.
AACGAACGCUGGCGGCAUGCCUAACAUAUGCAAGUCGAACGAGACCUUCGGGUCUAGUGGCGCACGGGUGCGUAACGCGUGGGAACCUGCCUUUAGGUUCGGAAUAACUCAGAGAAAUUUGAGCUAAUACCGGAUAAUGUCUUCGGACCAAAGAUUUAUCGCCAUUGGAGGGGCCCGCGUCGGAUUAGGUAGUUGGUGGGGUAAAGGCCUACCAAGCCUUCGAUCCGUAGCUGGUCUGAGAGGAUGAUCAGCCACACUGGGACUGAGAUACGGCCCAGACUCCUACGGGAGGCAGCAGUGGGGAAUAUUGGACAAUGGGCGCAAGCCUGAUCCAGCAAUGCCGCGUGAGUGAAGAAGGCCUUAGGGUUGUAAAGCUCUUUCGGCGGGGACGAUGAUGACGGUACCCGCAGAAGAAGCCCCGGCUAACUCCGUGCCAGCAGCCGCGGUAAUACGGAGGGGGCUAGCGUUGUUCGGAAUUACUGGGCGUAAAGGGCGCGUAGGCGGCGCGAUAAGUUGGGCGUGAAAGGCCCGGGCUCAACCCGGGGACUGCGCUUGAUACUGUCGCGCUGUGAGUC